This is a long non-coding RNA of Perca fluviatilis (European perch), 504 nucleotides long. RefSeq lists it as uncharacterized. NCBI's taxonomy places the organism in Eukaryota, Metazoa, Chordata, Actinopteri, Perciformes, Percidae. The record is from RefSeq and is a predicted model, not a curated record. The transcript is spliced from 3 exons.
UCUCUCUCUCUGUUCUUUCUCUAGCUCGCUUCACCACUUUGUUUUAUCAUUAGCAACACUCCACAUAGCACUCUAGGAUACUGUAGCAGUGGCUGUUAUAUCAACAAAAGACACUCUUGCCUGCUUUUUGUUCAGCUUUAAUUUGUACUAAUAGUUAAACUUUUUUUUUGUUAUCUGCUCCGUCCAAUCAACUUCAACACAUUUACAAUGAAUUUUUCCCCAAAACAAACUCUUUUUACUUAGUUGAUUCAAUAUUAAGAAGUAUGAAAGUAAAUAAUGAAUUUGACGCUGUAUUGUAAUUUACCAUUGACAUAUUCAUAUAAUUUAUGACUUUUCCAGCAAGAUGGGGAGUUCCUUUAAAAGUUGGUUCAUGGGAGUACGCUCCAGCUCUUCUGCCCCUCCACCCUCUCCUUUUUUCAGUGAACCUUGGAGGACAAUAAGCUGGGCAGACAAAAGUGAUCUGCAGUAUUUAAAGGACUAUAAACCUCAGACUGACGGCGCAGC